This 188-nucleotide ribosomal RNA is filed under the name uncultured bacterium. RNAcentral's name for it is "partial 16S ribosomal RNA". It matches the Rfam family "Bacterial small subunit ribosomal RNA", at positions 1313 to 1500 of the family's 1533-position model. The record is from RNAcentral.
GCCCACCAUGAAGUUGGAGUUGCUAGUAAUCGCGGAUCAGCAUGCCGCGGUGAAUACGUUCCCGGGCCUUGUACACACCGCCCGUCACACCAUGGGAGUUGGGAGCGCCCGAAGCCGGUGAGGUAACCGAGAGGAGCCAGCCGUCGAAGGUGAGACCAAUGACUGGGGUGAAGUCGUAACAAGGUACC